Molecule: ribosomal RNA, 324 nt
Filed under: uncultured bacterium
Lineage: Bacteria
Description: bacterial SSU rRNA
Rfam family: Bacterial small subunit ribosomal RNA
Source: RNAcentral
AACGAACGCUGGCGGCAUGCCUAACACAUGCAAGUCGAACGGGAUCCUAGCUUGCUAGGUGAGAGUGGCGGACGGGUGAGUAACACGUGGGAAUCUGCCUUUUGGUUCGGGAUAACCGCGGGAAACUGCGGCUAAUACCGAAUGCCCUCGAGAGAGGAAAGAUUUAUCGCCAGAAAGAGGAGCCCGCGUCCGAUUUAGGUAGUUGGUGGGGUAAAGGCCUACAAGCCGACGAUCGGUAGCUGGUCUGAGAGGAUGAUCAGCCACACUGGGACUGAGAUACGGCCCAGACUCCUACGGGAGCAGCAGUGGGGAAUAUUGGACAAU